This is a small nucleolar RNA of Echinops telfairi (small Madagascar hedgehog), 104 nucleotides long. RefSeq annotates it as small nucleolar RNA SNORD46. The record is from RefSeq and is a predicted model, not a curated record. The transcript has a single exon. Lineage: Eukaryota; Metazoa; Chordata; Mammalia; Afrosoricida; Tenrecidae.
AACUAGCGUGAUGAAAACGUCACCUUAGGCGUGGUGGUGGCCGUCUUGGCCACUUGGAUGCCACUUGCCAGUGUUAGGACUCGUCAUAGUUACACUGACUGUGU